AUGAAGAUGAAGAUUGGCAAGGCCCCAGUGCUCCUCAAGAAGGCGGCGGCUAUCUGCAAAAGCAAGACCGGCGUUGUCAUGGCCAGGCUCCGCAUCCUCACCUCGCCCCACCGCAGGAUGGCCACGAUCGGCGCCAUCUCUCACAGGAUCCACACUCUCAUUGUGGAAAAUCAGGAGAAGGGUGCCAAGGUGGACUACCACAAGACCUUGGUCCGCAAGGUCGAGAGGCAGGCAUGCCAUGGGAUGGUUGAUGAUCUGUUUCACCAUCUAGCACAGUUUGAUGAAGAUGAUGGUGUUGGUGGCUGUCCUAACUGGACACUUCACCCGAUCUUCAGCGACGGUGAUAAUUGUUGUUACACUUAUGGGUAUGACGACAAUGACGAUGAUGAAGAUGAGCCCUCGGUGGUGGAUGCAAUUAGGAGCAACCAGGAGGCUGCGGAGUUGGCAUUCAACAUGGACGACGAUAUCGACCAGGCUGCUUAA
Molecule: ribosomal RNA, 483 nt
Filed under: Triticum aestivum (bread wheat)
Lineage: Eukaryota; Viridiplantae; Streptophyta; Magnoliopsida; Poales; Poaceae
Description: partial small subunit ribosomal RNA
Source: RNAcentral